UACGUAGGGCGCAAGCGUUGUCCGGAUUUACUGGGCGUAAAGAGCGCGCAGGCGGUCGUUCAAGUCGCGUGUGAAAGCCCCCGGCUCAACUGGGGAGGGUCACGCGAUACUGAUCGACUCGAAGGCAGGAGAGGGUAGUGGAAUUCCCGGUGUAGUGGUGAAAUGCGUAGAUAUCGGGAGGAACACCAGUGGCGAAGGCGACUACCUGGCCUGUUCUUGACGCUGAGGCGCGAAAGCUAGGGGAGCAAACGGG
This 253-nucleotide ribosomal RNA is filed under the name uncultured bacterium. Its description in RNAcentral is "partial 16S ribosomal RNA". It matches the Rfam family "Bacterial small subunit ribosomal RNA", at positions 524 to 776 of the family's 1533-position model. The record is from RNAcentral.